AGCUCACAUUGUAAAUCUGCCUUCGUGGCCGAAUUGUAGUCUGUAGAGGCGUGACCAGCCGUCGGCGAGGGCGAAGUCUCUUGGAAAAGAGCAUCAAGGAGGGUGACAAUCCCGUGAUUGCCCCCGCUUGACGCGCGUAUGGUCCGUUUUCAACGAGUCGAGUUGCUUGGGAUUGCAGCUCAAAGUGGGUGGUAAAUUCCAUCUAAAGCUAAACACGCGUGGGAGACCGAUAGCGAACAAGUACCGUGAGGGAAAGAUGCAAAGAACUUUGAAAAGAGAGUUAAAGAGUGCCUGAAAUUGCUGAAAGGGAAGCGAAGGAAAUCAGUGUCUGUCGGUUUUGCUUCUCCGUUCGUCUUCGGAGGUUCGGAUUGCGUUUCCGUCGUGGCCAGAGGCGGGUGUCUUUGCGGGAGCCUGCGUCGGGGGAGGUACGUCUCUUCGGAGAGGGAAU
Molecule: ribosomal RNA, 448 nt
Filed under: Durvillaea antarctica
Lineage: Eukaryota; Phaeophyceae; Fucales; Durvillaeaceae
Also listed under: 1 other name
Description: LSU rRNA
Rfam family: Eukaryotic large subunit ribosomal RNA
Source: RNAcentral